GAUGAACGCUGGCGGCGUGCCUAAUACAUGCAAGUCGAGCGAAUGGAUUAAGAGCUUGCUCUUAUGAAGUUAGCGGCGGACGGGUGAGUAACACGUGGGUAACCUGCCCAUAAGACUGGGAUAACUCCGGGAAACCGGGGCUAAUACCGGAUAACAUUUUGAACCGCCUGGUUCGAAAUUGAAAGGCGGCUUCGGCUGUCACUUAUGGAUGGACCCGAGUCGAAUUAGCUAGUUGGUGAGGUAACGGCUCACCAAGGCAACGAUGCGUAGCCGACCUGAGAGGGUGAUCGGCCACACUGGGACUGAGACACGGCCCAGACUCCUACGGGAGGCAGCAGUAGGGAAUCUUUCGCAAUGGACGAAAGUCUGACGGAGCAACGCCGCGUGAGUGAUGAAGGCUUUCGGGUCGUAAAACUCUGUUGUUAGGGAAGAACAAGUGCUAGUUGAAUAAGCUGGCACCUUGACGGUACCUAACCAGAAAGCCACGGCUAACUACGUGCCAGCCGCCGCCGUAA
This 515-nucleotide ribosomal RNA is filed under the name uncultured bacterium. RNAcentral's name for it is "partial 16S ribosomal RNA". It matches the Rfam family "Bacterial small subunit ribosomal RNA", at positions 28 to 523 of the family's 1533-position model. The record is from RNAcentral.